CUUUAUUCUGAGUAUAUUACCAAAAGUUAACCCGUGAACUGCUCUGAUUUAUCUCCUGAAUAACCUGCAGCACCCAGGCUAAUUCCUAAGACAUCCCUGUGACCAAGACUUUAACUUUCCUCAAACUGAGAUAGACAUUUUCUGUCCAGUGGAAUAAACACAGAAGGUCUGGUGGUUUAUCCAGUGACUUGUGUUUCAAACAUCAUUAUUUAUUAACAUUUUCCAUUUCCUUCAUAGCUUUUGGGUUCAAGUUACACCAGGCUGGGAGGUACACAGUGUAAGGCUGCUUUUGCCUUUGUUGUGUGGGGAGAAAUACAACACAGGCAAUUAUCCUACAGAUUAUCUGGUUUACAGCUUUUAAGAGCAGCCAUCCUCAGUUCUUGUGAUUUUGGGGAAAGCUUGGGAGGUUUCAGAGGGUGAGAGGAAUUACUGUGGGAGGAAGGGUGAGAUCUUCAGCUGCAGAUUGGAAGCCAGAGGCCACCACAGCAUUCUCAGGUUACUGAGUCUUACACCAGACCAACUCAAAAGCUCUUGUGACUUCUGCUGGCAGCUCAGAGCCCAGGGGAGCCAAUAAAUGGCAAAAAGGGAUUAGCAAGGACAGGGAUGAGGAGCCCCAAAGCUCCUCCUUGGGUCAGAGCACUCAGAUGGGUCAGCAAGGACCCCUGUGUUGACUUCAUUUCCAAAUUGCAAACAUCUCUUGACUGGUCCUGCUGGCCACGAGCCCGAUUUGUGACAAUGGCCCAGCUCAAACCAUCGUCAGCUCAGGAUCUGAGCCAAGCUUUGGGCAAAUGGUCACAUUUUUACUUAAUCCAAUAUUAUGAGCUUGAAAACAAGCUGGUUACACCAAGGUACUCAGUGCUCUCUUUUAAUGUCAGUAGCUGAGUGAAAAACUCUUGUGUAACUCCCAGAAGGGUCCUUCUGAUUACAAAAAAAAACGGUGCUUUACUUUAUGUACAGUGUCAAAUCUCUUCUGCAAGCAGGAAGAAUAGUCAUGUCAUGAAUGGGUAGGUACUGUUUUAUUAUUUAAUGUGUAUGACACAAUCUAUUUAAACCAUACGUGUGUCACAUCUGCUGCCUUCCUUGCCUGUGGAAGGACAGCUGAGGAAGUUCAUUUGUGUGUAUUUGUGUUGUUUGUGUAUCAUCUGUGUUGCCCUGGAAGUGGCACAGCACAGGAUGCUGAGAGCUGCUCAAGCUGGGAGCUUGGUGGGGCUGGCCAGGGAAGCCCCAGAGCAACCUAACCCUGCUCUUUAUAAUCACCAAGGACACCCUUCCUAGCCAAAAGCUCAUGCUCUGUGGCUCCUCUUUUCCCCUUGCUGUCUCGACACUCAGACUCACAAUCUCCACAGAAAUCUCCAGUCACAAUCUCGACAGAAAUCCCUGUGUAUUUUUUUUUCUGGAUUUUGCCUCCUGUUCCAUGGCUUUGACUGCUGGUGGAAAAAGUCAAACUUCCUGGCCCAAGUAGAGGGAUGAUCUAUGCUGUAUUUCUAUUAUUCCGUCAGGCUUUAAAGCUCUCCAGCCUCUCCCUUAUCCUUCAAUGCCUCGUCAUUGGCGUGACUAAGGACAGGUUGUUCACCAAUUGAAAAAUGACCUUUGCUAGGAAUAGCUGUCAUAAAUCUCCAUUUCCCUGUCCUUCUGUGCAUGAGCCUGCAGAAAUGUCACUGAGGAAGUCAAGGAAUUGGAUUGUGUCAGAUUUGCAAGAACAUUCUGCUUUCUGAGGCAAAGGUCUGUGUACAUGAGGUUGCCCAUACCUGCCACAUUUUAACCUCCUUGUAUUUCUCCAUCCCAUCAAACCUUUUGAUCCCCUCUUAAUUAAAGUAGUGGAGGAUUCGUGCUGACCCCAGUAAUAUGUGAAAGUACCACCCUCCUGCUCCCCAACUUGUCCCUAACUGGUGCUUGACACGGUAACAUUCCCUUCUGUAACAAGUAACAUUAUGUUGUCUGCUCUUUUUCUUUGUUUCUUCACAUCCCAGCAGUAAUUUUAAAAUCCAUGUGUAUAUAUAUAUAUAUAUAUAUAUAUAUACACAUACCUACAUAACAAAUCAUAGUAUAGAUAGGAAAAAAAAAGAGAAUUUUUUAAUCCUCCCUUCUUCAUUUGUUUCUUGUUUGUUGCUGAUAAAAUUCCACUCAGCUGUUAUUUCACAUGGUCUGGCAACACCCAGCAGCCAUUCUGUAUUGGAGGGAAUAAUGUUUUGAAUAUUCCCUCUGCUAAAUAUCAGUGACAGUUGAAAAGGGUUGUGUGUGUGCGCAAUAUCCCAUUUUAUUUGUGCUCAGAAAGCUUGACUUUGAGAUUGGCAGCUGGAAAAGGCAAUUCCCACACUGCAGAAGCAGAGAGCCCAGCUCCCAUCACAGCCUAGACUGACAGCAGAUCAUUCCAGCAAUACUCCCAGCACAGAAACACCACCACUUGUUCUUGCCUUGCCAGCACAAGAAGCAGAUUUUGGGAUACACUCUGGUGGGCUUGUGUUUUGUUAGUGUUCUUGCCCAGGCUGAGGCAGGCAGCCCAGCCCUUGCCCUGGACCAGCUCACCCGUGCAGCAUUCCCAGCCCAGGCAGGUCCCAGCAGAGCUGUGUACAGGCACCCACUGUCUGAAAGCUCCCAAUCCAGAGCCUGCAGAGCCAGGGGCUGGGGGAACUCACCUGCCCCCCUUUCUUAUGGAUUGUUUCUUCCCCCUUGUUGUGGCUGGAGCCUGCACUUGCAUGUGCUGAGACCCUGUUUUGAUGGUUCAGAAGAAGAGCAGAUAUAAAACAUCCUCACCUGUCUUUCCUCUACCUCCCCUCUCUUGUCUGCCUGACGUUCUUCCCAAACCGCUCGACACUAAAGGACAAGUUGUAUUUAUCUGCAGAGGAGGUCAAGGACAGGAGUCACAUUCCUGAAAUGCAGAGGUCACAAUGCAAUUCAGCUUGUGGAAGAAGGAGCAAAAAUGGGGCACCAAUGGUGGAGACCCCAUGAUCAGAACACUCUGGAUUAGUGAUGUUUUCCCCAAAUUUAUUAUCAACUCACCUGUCAGUCAGCUUGCAAUGGUCUGAAUGAGUUUUGUCAUUACCUUUUGAUACCCAUUAAAUUGUUUACACCUUUUAGUAGCCCUUGCUUCUCUCUUCUCAAAAAAAAAAAAAAAUCGAAAAAACAAAAGCAGCAGCCAGUUUUUUGUCCAUAAAUAGCAACUUUCAAUUUUUUGUCAUGCUCGGUGUCUCCUGUACCCUUUCCAGUUCUUCAAUACCCUUCCUGUGUGGUCUCCCUGACCUUUUCUCAGAGUGUAAUUAUGCUUGUAUACGACAUCCUGCAGCACUAAUGAGGCAAAGAAUGCCUUCCUCCCUCUCUUUUUAGAAUAAACAGCACAGACCGUGGCCAGCAGGACCAGGGCAGCAAUCUCCCCCUGUACUGGGCUCUGGUGAGGCCACACCUCAAGUUGUGUGUCCAGUUUGAGCCCCCCAGGACAAAGGAGACAUGGAGGUGCUGGAGGGUGUCUGGAGGAGGGCAGUGAGGCUGAGAAGAGUCUGGAGCACAGUUCUGAGGGGAGUAGUUGAGGGAGCUGGGGUGGCUCAGCCUGGAGAACAGGAGGUUCAGGAGGGACCUUAUCCCUCUCUACAGCUCCCUGACAGGAGCGUGAAACCAGGUGGAGCUCUUUGAAGAGCUAUAGGAGAAAAUAAGAGAUGGAGCAAGUUCAGAGGAGGCAGACUUGUUUCCUGGCUCCCAUGCCCAUUAUACAUGAUCCUGGCUACGACAAAUCUCUGACUAACCUGCUCUAGAUGCUUCAUGGUAGCACUAAGGAAACUGCAGAUUUGGUGGUGGGAAGGUCAAGGAGUGAAGGUUGUACAGCCCCGUGAAUUUUUUUCUACUGUGAUCCUGUUUAUCCAAAAAUCAGUGGCUGGACAUUCAAUCAGAAUAACAAGCUGGGGAAAUGUAAUCUGCAUUUUACCUGCAUUUCUGUAACUACCAGAGAAAUCAUAAAAUAAAACACAGCUAUUGCUAAAGAUUACUCAGGAGACUCCUCUUUGCCCAAAUAUAUGUCACCUUUCAAGAGAAUGCCUAGGUAACUUUGGAUCUGCACCAUCACAUCACCUACACAGUUUAUCAGUAUCAGGGGUACAUUCCUUGGAGUGCAGGCAUUAGGAAUGCACAGGCCAUCAUAGAUCAAAUCUGAGGCUUUCUUGGAAGGCAGUGGAGAAGCAAUUACCUUACAGAUGUGAUAAGAUAAUCUGUUACGCAAAAAGGUGUUCCUACCAGACUAAGGGGGAAAAUUGUGGCUAACAGCUUGUACAACCAGAACCCCAAGCAUCAGACAAUGGGACAUUGGUGCUUGAAGAGAAGCGUCUCAAAGCACAGGGUGGAAAUAUGUAUGUGUGGUGUGGCCUUCAGCCUGGAGAAGAGGUACAAUUAUCACAGUUCCAGCUCAUGAAAAUGAACCCCAAGGACCUGCUCAUGUAUGCAAGACAUUCAAGUGGACAAGAGUUUGCAGUAAUGGUGUUGGGCAGGUGUGAAAUGGUGCAGAGAGACUCAGCUCUGAGAGGACAAGCAAUUACCUGUGUUGUAAAAAUUACUCUGAAGUUUCCUGCUCCUACUUUUAAUACCGCAGCAGCCACCCAGUUUAGAUAAAUAUCUCUAGUUAAUCUGGAAAUUAAACUAGAUAAUCACAGCCAAGUUAGAAAAUCCCAGACUCAGAAACUGUUCUUCAUUUUGCCCAGAUUAACCCACAGGGAUUUAAAUGGUGUUGCAAGUUAUUUUUAACUGAGUUAUCACUAAUCUCCCUCUAUACUUUUUAGACUGUACAUAUUAAAGUCACACUGUCAGAAAACAUGGAGACAGUUAUCUUCCAAAAAUAAAAGAGCUGACAAGUGGGAUAUAGGACUUAUUUUGCCAGAUCAUGGUCAUGUUUGGGCUCCUCCUGUUUCUCCCGCUACACAACUUUAUUCCUGUUAAAUUCCUCUGCAAGAGCUAUGGAGGAAUUGCAGCCUUAAGGACCAUGUAUCCCUAUGGCAGAGCCCUCAGCAAGUCCCAGGCUGAAGGAGGAGGUUGGUCAGUGUAGAUAUCAGUGUAGAUAUCUCUCAUCCACAGUCUUGGGAUGGGAAAUUCAAUAUUUUUUUUCACUGACUAGUUUUAGGAAUCUUACUGACACUUCACGCAUGCUAGAAGGAGUGACUGCUUUGUCAGCCAUGAUAGGUGACCCUCUUGUGCCUGGGGCAACCUUGAAUGAUUAGUUUUGAAGUUAAAGAUCUGGAGGUGUAAAUGGGUUUCUCUCCGGUAAAAAAAAAAAAAAGUAGAAUCCCAAAACCCCUGCAAAUGUACUCCCAGCCCAGGUCAAGUGCUGGGAGCAAUUCCAUUGCUGCACUAGGAGAUACAAGCUAAUCAAUCACCAAGACACCUUCCUUUCAUCCCUAACCAGAGCUCCAGAGCUCAGCAAAGGACCUGCACAACAACAGCACAAGGCUGGUAGAGGCAUCUCUGCAUCUCUCUUCCUGGCAGGAAUUCCCGUAUCAGCCAAGCUAGCAGGAUCUGUCUGUUUUGGAAAACAACGGAUAUAUCAAACAUCCUGGCAAAGCCCAGGAGAAAUGACAGUUCAAUGAUGUUGAAAAGAAAAUUAUCAAAGAGAGAUUAAUUUGUCUGACAGUACGUCUUUAUGCUCUCCACUGAGGAAGAACAAGAGUCCUUUCAUGCAUAUUGAAUUUACUUCUGGUGAGUCAACCUCUGUCAGCAGGGCUCUAAGUGCUGCCGGUUCAGGAAAACGGGUGAUUGCUGCUACCUGGCACCUGCCCCCUGCACACCUCGGAGCAUCAAAGCUUUCCAGCCCCUGCUUCUGCCACCAGCAAUGCUCAUUUUGCACCCUGGCUCAGGGCAUAGCACUCAGAACAUCUCCCGCACUGUCCAUCAGAACAUGAGGAGGCAGAUGGGACAGCCAAAUGCGGGGCUGCAGACCAUGGAGAGCCCAGAGUCCGGGUUUGGAGAUGCAAAGAGGGAAGGGAGCAAAGGUGCCUGUUAACAGGAGUGGCAAUCCCAAGCCAUUUCUCACAUGACAUUGCAGGUGAAGCACCCUGCACUGCCAGCUGCCUGGGGCCCUCUCUGUCUGCAGGACACAGCAAAACUUGGCCAUGUUUUGCCACAGCCAGCUCUUGACUGCUGUGGGUCACAGCUUGUGCAGAAGCAAUAAUCCCUGAACAGGCACAGAAUGAUGCUGAGGAACAAUGUUCUACUAAGAGUACCUGCAGCAGGUAUUUAUCCCACACUCACCAUCCAUUCUCUUCCAAGACAUCCAUGAGCUAAAAGCUCAGUUACAAAGUAAUGCCCAGAAGUUUCAGGUCCUUUUUUCUCAUAAGAUGCCAAACACAAAUGACAGUGGUAUGGAUUUUGCCUUAUGCUCCUGCAGUUCUGCACACCAUUCCGGCAGCCCAAAGGUGGCAGCAACCCAACUGAACUCAUGGGUUGUUUCUUUCCUGCAAGCAGGCAAUGACACAUGAGGCAGCAGGAAUGGGGUGUCACUCCCCACUGUGACACAGCUGGGGACAAGGACAGAGUCACGGGGGGACUGGCUGGGCACAGGGGGUGCCUCUGGGAGGCUGCAGCAGCUGGCAUCCCAAAGAGCAAUGCCCACACAGGUCCCUGUGUCCAGGGCAGCAGCAACAGCUCCUGUUUGCUCAGGCACUUCUUCCAUCACAGGGUUUUCUUUUGCAGCCUCUUUGUUGAGAGGGCAAACUGUAUAGGCAGUAAAACUGAGCAACUCAACGUGAGCCUGUUGUUUAUUUAAAGCAUUGCCCAAACUACUUAUUUUUCCUGGCAUGAAUCUUGGUACUGAUGGAAUAAGUUGAGCAAAUCUUCCCAGCCAAAAGAUGAACCAGAAACUGUCACAAAAGCAGGCACGAAAAGUUUGGCUAAAGUAUAAGGAACCAAAGAAAGAGGGUCUGGCACCUGGCAGCUUCAGUAGCUAUAGAUGUCCUUCAGCUUGCUUGACCCACUACAUCAGUCC
Molecule: long non-coding RNA, 6955 nt
Filed under: Taeniopygia guttata (zebra finch)
Lineage: Eukaryota; Metazoa; Chordata; Aves; Passeriformes; Estrildidae
Description: lncRNA (ENSTGUG00000028978.1)
Source: RNAcentral